GAAUCUAACGGAGUUGCGGA
RNAcentral lists this non-coding RNA (20 nucleotides) under Arabidopsis thaliana (thale cress). The record is from RNAcentral. Lineage: Eukaryota; Viridiplantae; Streptophyta; Magnoliopsida; Brassicales; Brassicaceae.